This 1455-nucleotide ribosomal RNA is filed under the name uncultured bacterium. RNAcentral describes it as "bacterial SSU rRNA". It matches the Rfam family "Bacterial small subunit ribosomal RNA". The record is from RNAcentral.
GAGUUUGAUCCUGGCUCAGAACGAACGCUGGCGGCAUGCCUAACACAUGCAAGUCGAGCGCCCGUAGCAAUACGGGAGCGGCGCACGGGUGAGUAACGCGUGGGAACCUGCCCAGAGGUUCGGGACAACCGCGGGAAACUGCGGCUGAUACCGGAUGAUACCUGAGGGUCAAAGAUUUAUCGCCUUUGGAGGGGCCCGCGUCGGAUUAGGUAGUUGGUGGGGUAACGGCCUACCAAGCCUAUGAUCCGUAACUGGUCUGAGAGGAUGACCAGUCACACUGGGACUGAGACACGGCCCAGACUCCUACGGGAGGCAGCAGUGGGGAGUAUUGGACAAUGGGGGCAACCCUGAUCCAGCAAUGCCGCGUGGGUGAUGAAGGCCUUCGGGUUGUAAAGCCCUUUCGGCGGGGACGAUGAUGACGGUACCCGCAGAAGAAGCCCCGGCUAACUUCGUGCCAGCAGCCGCGGUAAUACGAAGGGGGCUAGCGUUGUUCGGAAUGACUGGGCGUAAAGGGCGCGUAGGCGGCGAUUUUAGUCAGGCGUGAAAGCCCUGGGCUCAACCUAGGAACUGCGUUUGAUACUGGAUCGCUUGAGUGUGGGAGAGGAUGGUGGAAUUCCCAGUGUAGAGGUGAAAUUCGUAGAUAUUGGGAAGAACACCGGUGGCGAAGGCGGCCAUCUGGACCACUACUGACGCUGAGGCGCGAAAGCGUGGGAGCAAACAGGAUUAGAUACCCUGGUAGUCCACGCUGUAAACGAUGUGUGCUAGACGUUGGGGGGUUGCCCUCCGGUGUCGCAGCUAACGCUUUAAGCACACCGCCUGGGGAGUACGGUCGCAAGAUUAAAACUCAAAAGAAUUGACGGGGGGCCCGCACAAGCGGUGGAGCAUGUGGUUUAAUUCGACGCAACGCGAAGAACCUUACCAGCUCUUGACAUGGGUAGUAUGGACCUGGGCGACUGGGUCCUUCAGUUCGGCUGGCUACCACACAGGUGCUGCAUGGCUGUCGUCAGCUCGUGUCGUGAGAUGUUGGGUUAAGUCCCGCAACGAGCGCAACCCUCAUCUUCAGUUGCCAUCAGGUUAAGCUGGGCACUCUGGGGAAACUGCCGGUGACAAGCCGGAGGAAGGCGGGGAUGACGUCAAGUCCUCAUGGCCUUUAUGACCAGGGCUACACACGUACUACAAUGGUCGGUACAGAGGGUUGCCAACCCGCGAGGGGGAGCUAAUCCCAAAAAGCCGAUCGUAGUCCGGAUUGGAGUCUGCAACUCGACUCCAUGAAGUCGGAAUCGCUAGUAAUCGCGGAUCAGCACUUGUCGCGGUGAAUACGUUCCCGGGCCUUGUACACACCGCCCGUCACACCAUGGGAGUUGGCUGCACCAGAAGCCGGUAGUCUAACCGCAAGGAGGACGCCGUCCACGGUGUGGUCAAUGACUGGGGUGAAGUCGUAACAAGGUAACCGUA